This 253-nucleotide ribosomal RNA is filed under the name uncultured bacterium. RNAcentral's name for it is "partial 16S ribosomal RNA". It matches the Rfam family "Bacterial small subunit ribosomal RNA", at positions 524 to 776 of the family's 1533-position model. The record is from RNAcentral.
UACGAAGGGGGCUAGCGUUGUUCGGAAUUACUGGGCGUAAAGCGUAUGCAGGCGGAUCGUUAAGUCGGGGGUGAAAUCCUGGAGCUCAACUCCAGAACUGCCUUCGAUACUGGCGAUCUUGAGUCCGGGAGAGGUGAGUGGAACUCCGAGUGUAGAGGUGAAAUUCGUAGAUAUUCGGAAGAACACCGGUGGCGAAGGCGGCAUCCUGGACCAACACUGACGCUGAGGAGCGAAAGCCAGGGGAGCAAACGGG